GAAGGCAUAGUUAGCAAAGGUCACUAUUAUAACAUUAUCUUUCACCCUUUUCUGAAUCAAUUCUUUGGUCAAUCCGAAAGCCUCCAAAGGUGGCAUCUCUUUAUUGCGUGGAGGAACAUCCAAAAUAGGUCUUGUCCUCACAUCUCGUGCCUCAGGAGGAACAGAAGGCACAUCAACUGUUGCAAACCGAGAACCGUUGAGCGUUUGUUCUGUAAGACGAACAUCCUCAUCUGAAAAACAUGAACAGUUCAAGGUUUGAAUUUGAAAUCACACCCACAUGUGAUUUAACAAAGGGUCAAAAGGGAAAACACAAAAGAAGCUCAAUGUAUUGAAAAGUGCCACAUACAAAAGGCACCCUUAACAAAUAACAGGGCAUUAAAGGACACAAAAGUGGAACCAAUGUCAAUUGCUCAAACAUUAUCUAUCUCCAACUAAGGAAGGUUAACAACACAUUUAAAUUUGACAAAAGGGUAUGUCAC
This 479-nucleotide long non-coding RNA is filed under the name Phaseolus vulgaris (common bean). RNAcentral describes it as "long non-coding RNA (PVUL_LNC004486)". The record is from RNAcentral. Lineage: Eukaryota; Viridiplantae; Streptophyta; Magnoliopsida; Fabales; Fabaceae.